CAGCCCCCGAAGGUCGGGGUGCCAACACCCCCCAGCGGAAAAAUGGCCAAAAAACGGGUGGGCUAUAGCCUUGGUGGGGGGCGUGGGCGAAGUUCGUCCGCCGAACUCGGAAUGGCCCCAGACUUUGCGGGCGGCCUCCGUGUGCCAAAAAUAGGCCACGGGCAGAGCCGCGCCCAAAAAUCAGCCCCCGAAGGUCGGGGUGCCAAGACCCCCCAUCGGAAAAAUGGCCAAAAAACGGGUGGGCUAUAGCCUUGGUGGGGGGCGUGGGCGAAGUUCGUCCGCCGGACUCGGAAUGGCCCCAGACUUUGCGGGCGGCUUCCGUGUGCCAAAAAUAGGCCACGGGCAGAGCCGCGCCCAAAAAUCAGCCCCCGAAGGUCGGGGUGCCAACACCCCCCAGCGGAAAAAUGGCCAAAAAACGGGUGGGCUAUAGCCUUGGUGGGGGGCGUGGGCGAAGUUCGUCCGCCGGACUCGGAAUGGCCCCAGACUUUGCGGGCGGCUUCCGUGUGCCAAAAAUAGGCCACGGGCAGAGCCGCGCCCAAAAAUCAGCCCCCGAAGGUCGGGGUGCCAACACCCCCCAGCGGAAAAAUGGCCAAAAAACGGGUGGGCUAUAGCCUUGGUGGGGGGCGUGGGCGAAGUUCGUCCGCCGGGCUCGGAAUGGCCCCAGACUUUGCGGGCGGCCUCCGUGUGCCAAAAAUAGGCCACGGGCACAGCCGCGCCCAAAACUCAGCCCCCGAAGGUCGGGGCGCCAAGACCCCCCCGCGGAAAAAUGGCCAAAAAACGGGUGGGCUAUAGCCUUGGUGGGGGGCGUGGGCGAAGUUCGUCCGCCGGACUCGGAAUGGCCCCAGACGUUGCGGGCGGGCUCCGUGUGCCAAAAAAAGGCACGGGCAAGGCCGCGCCCAAAAAUCAGCCCCCGAAGGUCGGGGUGCCAACACCCCCCAGCGGAAAAAUGGACAAAAAACGGGUGGGCUAUAGCCUUGGUGGGGGGCGUGGGCGAAGUUCAUCCGCCGGACUCGGAAUGGCACCAGACUUUGCGGGCGGCCUCCGUGUGCCAAAAAUAGGCCACGGGCACAGCCGCGCCCAAAAAUCAGUUCCAGAAGGUCGGGCCGCCAAGACCCCCCAGCGGAAAAAUAGCCAAAAAACGGGUGGGCUAUAGCCUUGGUCGGGGGCGUGGGCGAAGUUCGUCCGCCGGACUCGGAAUGGACCCAGACUUUGCGGGCGGCCUCCCAGUGCCAAAAAUAGGCCACGGGCACAGCCGCGCCCUAAAAUCAAUCCCGUAAGGUCGGGGUGCCAAGAUCCCCCAGCGGAAAAAUG
This 1311-nucleotide long non-coding RNA is filed under the name Citrus x clementina. RNAcentral's name for it is "Citrus clementina (C. clementina) long non-coding RNA (CCLE_LNC006093)". Lineage: Eukaryota; Viridiplantae; Streptophyta; Magnoliopsida; Sapindales; Rutaceae. The record is from RNAcentral.